This 253-nucleotide ribosomal RNA is filed under the name uncultured bacterium. RNAcentral describes it as "partial 16S ribosomal RNA". It matches the Rfam family "Bacterial small subunit ribosomal RNA", at positions 524 to 776 of the family's 1533-position model. The record is from RNAcentral.
UACGUAGGGUGCGAGCGUUAAUCGGAAUUACUGGGCGUAAAGCGUGCGCAGGCGGUGAUGUAAGACCGAUGUGAAAUCCCCGGGCUUAACCUGGGAACUGCAUUGGUGACUGCAUUGCUGGAGUAUGGCAGAGGGGGGUAGAAUUCCACGUGUAGCAGUGAAAUGCGUAGAGAUGUGGAGGAACACCGAUGGCGAAGGCAGCCCCCUGGGUCAAGAUUGACGCUCAUGCACGAAAGCGUGGGGAGCAAACAGG